Molecule: ribosomal RNA, 367 nt
Filed under: Lomentospora prolificans
Lineage: Eukaryota; Fungi; Ascomycota; Sordariomycetes; Microascales; Microascaceae
Description: Scedosporium prolificans Eukaryotic large subunit ribosomal RNA
Rfam family: Eukaryotic large subunit ribosomal RNA
Source: Rfam by way of RNAcentral
GCAGGCGCAGAAUGAAGCAUUAACCCAAUGUGACUCCGGACCAGGGAUCUGACGAUCAAUAUCAAGAAAAUCAACCAACCAAGGAUAAACAGCGGCAGUAACUAUCACUCUCCGAAGGUAAGCAAACGCCUGAGCAUCUAAAUCGAGACGCGAAUGAUUAGCUUAACCAGAUUGCCUCUCUCUCUACCUACCCUCUAUCGAAAACCCAGCCAACGAAUCCAGAUUGGCAGAAUCAGCGGAGAAAGAAGAUCCUGUUGAGCUUGACUCUAGUUUGACAUUGUGAAAAGACAUAGGAGGUGUAGAAUAGGUGGAGCUUCGGCGCCGGUGAAAUACCACUACUCCUAUUGUUUUUUUACUUAUUCAGUGA